Long non-coding RNA from Dermacentor albipictus, 2085 nucleotides. RefSeq lists it as uncharacterized. The record is from RefSeq and is a predicted model, not a curated record. Lineage: Eukaryota; Metazoa; Arthropoda; Arachnida; Ixodida; Ixodidae.
GACCAGUUUUCACCUGACGCGCAUCUGCGUACAUGUACGGAAUGGUCAAGAAUGACAAAGGAAGGCCUGAUGGCCCUGUUUUAGUUUUAUAAGGUGUCUUCUUUAGCAAUAUUCUCGCUUGCCCAGCUUCGUUUACCGUGUUACUUUACCUGGGUAGGUGUGCUAUCAAGAUUGCGACAACCAUGCUCGAAGCCAAGAAACAGAUCUGGUAACGUGUAAUUGUGAAAUGCAGAACUUUAGAGGGCGCUGCGAAAGCCCGUGCGAGGAAACGCCAGCAAACUGCGAGUACCUGCUAACAUCUCGUGCUGUAGUGCUGUCGCCAGGUAUAGUCAUUAGCGUUGCGUCCUCCACUGGAUUCACUGCAGGCAAGGUUUGGUUAACCCGCAACGGAGAACUGCUGUGCAGCACCGGAGCCCGAACAGAUACGACAGCGACGAACUGUGGCUGAGCAGGGUGAUAUUAUCGACAGUCGAUGUUGAUCCCAUAGAAAGUUAGCCCCAGCCCUUCUCAGCAUCUGCGAUGAGCCAAGCAGACUUGGACGUGCUGUGCGAUGUACUGACGCUAAUGUCCAUGGAAGAACUACAGUCCCUGGAGGAUUCCAACAUCCCGUGGAUACCAGUCCUGAGGAAUGGUACGCACAUGGAGGCUGUCCGCUCCAUUCGACUUGCCCUGGAAGCUGUCGCCCUUCUUGACACCCGUACCUUCCUCGUUGCCUGGCUCUACUGCUGCCUCGCUGAGAGGCAGGCGCUUCGCUCCUGGCGUUCGUAUCGUUCCAGCAGUUUCCUCACUACCGCUGAGGACCUGAUGUCCGUCCGCUUCGUUCUGCACGAGCGAUUGGAGACCGUUUUCAAUAAUUCGGGCUGCCAUACCAAGUGCGCUAAAACCGAGAGAGCAGGUAUCAUCUACGCCUGCGUCAUGGCCUCACGUCCCGGGGACAGAUUCAAACACGACGUCAUCUGCAUGUGCGUUCAGCGUUCGCUGCCGUAUCUGUUCGUACAUUCCACAACGAGUUGUGAGUGGCGUGUCACUGCCGCUCUCCACGUAGUUCUGCAAAUAAUUCCCGAAGAACUACUCGAAGGCAAUUUCGUCAAACUCAGUUUAGCACUGGAGAGUGCCCGGCAGCACAGGGCAUAGGUUGAUGCAUUCUUUAUGAAUAACAAGACAGGACGCCUCUUAAAUACUUCUGACCGAGAAGAACAGACAGCGGUCAAGGAACCUGACCAGGCUUCUCGCAAGAGAAGCCGGCCUUCUGCCGAAACAACUAUCGUGGAUUACAUUACCAUGCACUGCGUGUCUUCUGACCCCGCCAUCUGAUAACUCAACCACUGGCGAAGCCACUCCCCAUUUACUCAAUGGAAAGAAUGUUGAGAUGGGCACGGCAUAACCCAGGACAGUUCCAGUAGCAAGCGAAGGGAGCGGCGCACUUAAGGGCAUUUUCAUCUGCCAAUACUGCCACAAGGUCCUUUACGAGGGCUCUAACUAAACGAAGAAGACUUCCUUCGCUUCUCCAAGCCGCGGAAGCGAACGGGGCACAGAACGUGCGUACUGCAUUUGUGAAAGGUGCCCGAACAGGGACACAGUGUUGUGAAGUGAAUUGAGCACUGAUCAUUUUUUUAUGAAAAAGGGUCAACUCUACGAAGGCAACGUCAUUCGAAGCAGGAGCCCUUCAAUCCUUACCCUGCAGCCGAUGAUGAGCGCUGGUGCCGAAUCCGCUUGACGUUAUCCCAAACAUGCACUCUGAAUAUUGACGACUACACAUGUCUUCACUGAUGUUAAAGCGAAAAUUCCCUUGUGACCCACGUUUCUUACGCCCGACUUCAUCAUUGACUAGAGUAUCUAAAUUACUGCCAUUUUUAAAAAGCGCGAAUACGUAGACGCUAUGAGCUACUGUAUUUAGAACGGGAGUGCUUACUGCAAAGCUGACCUUUCUAGCCCGCGAAAAUUUAAUUCAGAGGGUUGAGGUUCGGACUGUUAAGCUUUCUGCUCAGUGUUCUUACAUUUCUGACGUGUUUCUUGUGAAAUAAACUUGACUUUAUCUGUAUAUUGCUGUACUGUUAUUUAAUAAAUUUGAUUGUUCGCCCUUGA